Molecule: ribosomal RNA, 305 nt
Filed under: uncultured bacterium
Lineage: Bacteria
Description: bacterial SSU rRNA
Rfam family: Bacterial small subunit ribosomal RNA
Source: RNAcentral
CCCUACGGGAGGCAGCAGUGGGGAAUUUUGGCCAAUGGGCGCAAGCCUGAUCCAGCUAUUCCGCGUGUGGGAAGACGGCCUUCGGGUUGUAAACCACUUUUGUAGAGAACGAAAAGUCUAUUGAUAAUACCGAUAGACGAUGACGGUACUCUAAGAAUAAGCACCGGCUAACUACGUGCCAGCAGCCGCGGUAAUACGUAGGAUUCGAGCGUUAUCCGGAUUUAUUGGGUUUAAAGGGUGCGUAGGCUGUUGGAUAAGUUAGAGGUCAAAUGUCGGGGCUUAACCCCGUGCCUGCCUCUGAUACU